GUUGUCCUUGCGAGUAGAAUGUCUUAUUUGGUUUGUUUUCUCUUCUGUUCUUUUUCUUCUCCAAGGGAGGAGGUUGGUUAAUGGUAGUUGGUCAUAUACUAAUAGAGAGCUAGAGAAGUCUCGUCAUGCUAAAAGAAAAUUAAAAAGAAACAGGAAAAAAGAAAAAGAAUUAUAGUGCGUGUGUAUAUUUAGAGAGAGACGGAGCCCUAUUUGAACUCAAUUCCAUGGUGUGAAUCACAACCAUGAAGUGUUUGUUAUUGGCUCCUUAGCUCUCGCCGUGUUUCGCAAAGGGGGUAAGACCUUCUCAAAAUCCUUAUUUCCACAAAUCCAGGAAUCCUCAAUUCUAUAUCUCUCUCUCAAAUAUCUCUUUUAGAUAAGAUAAAACUGUCUCAAAUUUCAUCAUAAUCUUCAUAGAGAGAGAGAGUUCAUGACUCGCGAGUCGUAUUUUGUGUUGAAAAGGGAUUCUCUUACUCAUGGGUUUUCUUUAGUUUCCUCUUUUGCAUGAACUUCCCUGCCUUUUAGCUCUUCCGCAAUGGUUAUUUUAGCUCCUGUGAUGCUCAUGGACUACUUGAAAGAAGUGGAAGGCAAAAUUGUUCAUGACCAUUUCACCAAUAAGAUGGCUAUGUCACCAAGCAGGUGUACAGGGGUGCAUGGACCUGUCAUAGUUGGUGCUGGCCCUUCAGGUCUCGCCACAGCUGCUUGCCUUAAAGAAAGAGGUGUUCCUAGUUUGAUUCUUGAGAGGGCUAAUUGCAUAGCUUCCUUGUGGCAGCUCAAAACCUACGAUCGUCUCCGCCUCCAUCUUCCAAAGCAGUUCUGCGAGCUCCCUCUCAAGCCAUUCCCAACUGACUUCCCAACAUACCCAACAAAACAACAGUUUGUGGCCUACUUGGAGGCUUACGCAAAGCAUUUUGGUCUAGCACCAGUCUUCAAUAACACAGUGGUGAGUGCGGAAUUCGAUCCUCGAUGUGGGUUUUGGCGUGUCAAGACCUUGGGGCUGAAACAGGAGGAGUCGGAGUAUGUAUGCCAAUGGCUAAUCGUUGCCACCGGCGAAAAUGCUGAGGAGGUCGUGCCGGAUAUUGAAGGAAUGAAUCAAUUUGAGGGCCCUAUUCUUCACACGAGCUCAUACAAGAGCGGGGAGUUGUUUCGUGGGAAGAGAGUUUUGGUGGUUGGAUGUGGGAAUUCAGGCAUGGAGGUCUGCUUGGAUCUUUGCAACUAUAAUGCUCGCCCAUCCAUCGUGGUUAGAGACUCGGUGAGCAUACAUAAGCUCUCUCAUAUAGAGAAAGUAACUCACCUGAGUGAGAUUGCCUACUCCAAAUUCUUGUGUGCCAUUCUUAGGAUUUAUUUAACGUAACACACUCUCUCUCUCUUUCCCCUUACCAUUAUAGCAAUGAAUUUUGACGAAAAAACAAGGAACCUGUCAUUUUUUAACCAAAUUAUUUAAUAUAUUGCACCAAGUUUCUUGUAAAAUAUCUUCAUUUUCCAAUUGGUAAUAGUUGGUUUUCCUUCGCCAACAAUAAUAUAAGCCUAGAAAAUAGAAAAACAUUAUACUAGUUGGGAAUAUGUUCUGCAACAGUAGAAACAAAGUAAAAUGAGGCUCUUUUAUGCCACUUUCACCCACUUGGGAAGGAGUUGGAAAUUGCUUGUUUGAGACUCAACUAUUCUUGUAAACUUUAUUUUGUGUUGUGUUGCGUUGUUGACUUUAGCUUUAGUGCUAUGAAAUGUAUUUUGUUACAUAUGUACUUGAAUCUCUCUCACUUUCUUGGAAUAUGUUUGCAUGCGUAGCAAUAGUCAGCAUUCCAAAAACUCAUAAAUGUUACAGCCUGUUCCUUCUCUUUAAUAAAAAUUUUCUGUGGAAAGUGUUGCAGAUUCUAAAGGAUGUGGAAAAUAACAUUGCAAUGAAAGAAGCAAAUUCACACACUCACACACACUUGGGGGGGGGGGCUCAUUUCAUUCGCUAUCUUAUCUCUUAGUCCUUUUUUCUUAAAGCUUUUUAAGCAACUUUUCUUUUGGUUGUUUUGGUGGUGUGUUAUUGCAGGUGCACGUCCUGCCUCAAGAGAUGCUUGGAAGAUCAACUUUUGGAUUGUCCAUGUGGCUGCUCAAGUGGUUUCCUUUGGGCCUUGUGGAUCAAAUUUUAUUACUGAUAUCUCGGUUCAUGCUUGGUGAUACUUCUCAAUUCGGUCUCCAUCGUCCUAAACUUGGUCCUAUCCAGCUCAAAAAUGCCACAGGAAAAACACCUGUCUUGGAUGUGGGUACUCUUGCUAAGAUCAGAAGUGGGGAUAUUAAGGUUUGCAGGGGAAUACAGAGACUAAUGCAUCAUUAUGUGGAGUUUGUUGAUGGAAGCACGGAAAAUUUCGAUGCUAUCAUCCUAGCCACAGGUUACAAAAGCAACGUACCUUCUUGGUUGAAGGGUAACGAAAUGUUUUCAGAGAAAGAUGGACUGCCCCACAAGUCAUUCCCAAAUGGAUGGAAAGGUGAAAAUGGGUUGUAUGCAGUAGGUUUUACACAGCGUGGCCUGCUUGGCACGUCUAUUGAUGCAAGAAGAAUUGCACAAGACAUUGAGCUUCGCUGGAAAGCUGAGGCCACAGGUUUCAUGGCCUUUGCUUGUGCAUCACCACAACAAUCAUGACUCCAAAAUGAUUACAUUGAAAGAAAGAAGGAAAAAAAAAAUCUAAUGAACCUUUUGGUUUCUUGGACAUCUAAUGAAGUUUCUCCUCUCAUUUGAGCGAGCGAAGCAGGAAUAGAAAGACAAGGACAAGUUGUUUUUAACCUUUCAAAUGCACAAAAGCUAGGAAUGUUAGGGUAAAAAGCUGAGGGUGAUAAUAUUUGUUUCUUGGGGAGGAGAAGAAGAUUCUCAAUGUGUAUAUCUUGUUCAUCAUUCUUGUUUUAUAUUAUUAGUUAGGUAAACUUUUUAAGUGAAAGGGUGGAGUAGUAUGCUUUUGCAAUUUCAUAACAUGUUUCAAAAGGUUAGAUAUGGUGAAAGUAAUUAAU
Molecule: unclassified non-coding RNA, 2988 nt
Filed under: Hevea brasiliensis (rubber tree)
Lineage: Eukaryota; Viridiplantae; Streptophyta; Magnoliopsida; Malpighiales; Euphorbiaceae
Source: RNAcentral